UUAGAGUUUGAUCCUGGCUCAGGAUGAACGCUAGCGGCAGGCUUAACACAUGCAAGUCGAGGGGCAGCGAGAUCAGUGCUUGCACUGAUUGUCGGCGACCGGCGCACGGGUGCGUAACGCGUAUGCAACCUACCCAUUACAGGGGGAUAACACUGAGAAAUCGGUACUAAUACCCCAUAACAUCCAGGGAGGCAUCUUCUUGGGUUGAAAACUCCGGUGGUAAUGGAUGGGCAUGCGUUGUAUUAGUUAGUUGGUGGGGUAACGGCUCACCAAGACAACGAUACAUAGGGGGACUGAGAGGUUAACCCCCCACAUUGGUACUGAGACACGGACCAAACUCCUACGGGAGGCAGCAGUGAGGAAUAUUGGUCAAUGGACGCAAGUCUGAACCAGCCAUGCCGCGUGCAGGAAGACGGCUCUAUGAGUUGUAAACUGCUUUUGUACGAGGGUAAACGCAGAUACGCGUAUCUGUCUGAAAGUAUCUUACGAAUAAGGAUCGGCUAACUCCGUGCCAGCAGCCGCGGUAAUACGGAGGAUUCAAGCGUUAUCCGGAUUUAUUGGGUUUAAAGGGUGCGUAGGCGGUCGGAUAAGCUAGAGGUGAAAUCCCGGGGCUCAACUUCGGAAUUGCCUCUGAUACUGUUCGGCUAGAGAGUAGUUGCGGUAGGCGGAAUGUAUGGUGUAGCGGUGAAAUGCUUAGAGAUCAUACAGAACACCGAUUGCGAAGGCAGCUUACCAAGCUACUUCUGACGUUGAGGCACGAAAGCGUGGGGAGCAAACAGGAUUAGAUACCCUGGUAGUCCACGCAGUAAACGAUGAUAACUCGUUGUCGGCGAUACAGUGUCGGUGAAUAAGCGAAAGCGAUAAGUUAUCCACCUGGGGAGUACGUUCGCAAGAAUGAAACUCAAAGGAAUUGACGGGGGCCCGCACAAGCGGAGGAACAUGUGGUUUAAUUCGAUGAUACGCGAGGAACCUUACCCGGGCUUGAAAGUUAGUGACGGAUCUUGAAAGAGGUCUUCCCUUCGGGGCACGAAACUAGGUGCUGCAUGGUUGUCGUCAGCUCGUGCCGUGAGGUGUCGGGUUAAGUCCCAUAACGAGCGCAACCCCUACCGUUAGUUGCCAGCAGGUCAAGCUGGGCACUCUGACGGGACUGCCGGUGUAAGCCGAGAUGAAGGUGGGGAUGACGUCAAAUCAGCACGGCCCUUACGUCCGGGGCUACACACGUGUUACAAUGGCAGGUACAGAGGGCAGCUACCCAGCGAUGGGAUGCGAAUCUCGAAAGCCUGUCUCAGUUCGGAUUGGAGGCUGAAACCCGCCUCCAUGAAGUUGGAUUCGCUAGUAAUCGCGCAUCAGCCAUGGCGCGGUGAAUACGUUCCCGGGCCUUGCACUAACCGCCCGUCA
Molecule: ribosomal RNA, 1398 nt
Filed under: uncultured bacterium
Lineage: Bacteria
Description: 16S ribosomal RNA
Rfam family: Bacterial small subunit ribosomal RNA
Source: RNAcentral